RNAcentral lists this long non-coding RNA (4159 nucleotides) under Panax ginseng (ginseng). RNAcentral's name for it is "long non-coding RNA (PGIN_LNC015462)". Lineage: Eukaryota; Viridiplantae; Streptophyta; Magnoliopsida; Apiales; Araliaceae. The record is from RNAcentral.
UCGUCUUCAAGUGUCUUUGGUGUAUCAUAGUGAAAUAAUGUAACAUAUGGUUGUAUUCCUGCAUGACAAAUUGACAGAAUCGUUAUCUUUCCCUUAUAAAAAAGGAAAAAACGCACUGCUUUGAUAUAUGUUAAACGCAUAAAAAAGGUCCACACAAUCAAACAAAAUUAGCAGCAUUUAAGAUGAAAAAUUGGGUUGAUAGAAUCACACAAUGCAUAAUAAAGCAAUCGAUAAUAAAAAAAAAAAGCAAUCAAUUAUUAGUAAAAAGCAUACGCAUAUGCAUAAAGUAUAUAUAGCUCAAUGAAAAGUGAGCUUAAUUUUUGUAUUGCGUCUGUAGUUUCUAAAAUUUUAUUUGUAUCCGAGUAUCAUGAAAUGAGUAGAAUAAUGUGAACGCUUUCAACAUAUAUAAAAUCUCAUGCCACACUAAUAUAAUGAGAUUUACUCUAGUUCAUGAAAAAAGAGUGAGAGGUUGUACACAUGAGCUAAUUAACAAUUAAUAUAAGUUGCAAGAUAUAUUAGCAGUAUAAAAAAGUCUAUCACAGUCUUGAUAAAAAAUUUAUAAAAGUUUGUUACUUAUUUCAUGGAGUCUAUAAAAGUCAUUUUAAAAAAAUCUUUAAAGUAUGUGAAAGUCAUUAAAAUCCCACAAAUUCUACAAAAGUCUGUCACUUAAAAAAAGUCUUUAAAAAUCUUAAUUGAAUGCACCCCCCUUAGAGAGAGACUAGAGAGAAAUUUUGAAAAUCCAUUCAUUUGGUGGCUAGUACCGCAGCACCCUUUUAUUGCAGAAUCGUGAGACGGUUCGCGGACGUUCGUGUGGAUACCGAAGAGACGUAGUUCAUUCGGAUUGCGUUGGAGAUUCGAACGCAUCAAUUCCAACUUCAUAAUCGGUAUAAUCUCUUACACACUGAAUUAAUUUCUGUUUCGCAUGGAUCUUGUUUGGGUUUCGGAUUUUGUUUUGUUCAAUUUAUUUUUCGUUGUGCAUUGCUUUGAUGUGCCGAAAACCCUACAGUUAUCUCAUCGAAUAUAUUACGAUUCAUUUCUAUAUUAUGAUCGUUUGGUUUUACGAUCUCAUAUCCCUGUAUUUUUAGUCUUUUAGACUAUAUCUAUUCACCACUAUUGUUCACCUUUAUUAUCAGAGUUAGGGAACUCCGUAUCUUUAAACUUACCGAGAUUCGUCUUUGAAUCAUACCGACACACUAACUCUAUGUGAGUUAGAUCUUAUCUUAAUCACCACGGUUAUUAGUCUAAGGUAACUCUACCCUAGAUUUAUAACUUACAGCUUUAAUACCAAAUGUAGCGUCUCCAAAUUCUGGUCCUAAAUCACCACGAAUCUGGUACACUAGUUCUAACUAUUGCGGAAGAUAUAAACAUAAAUUAUUUAUACAUUAAACAUUACACACUAUCCCCAAAGUCGAGAACCUUCACUUAAAACCUGAAUCAAUAUCCUAUCUAACAUACAAUGUUAUUAUUAUACAAUACUGUUACAAAUUUAGUUGCACACAUAGUCCCAAGCUGAACUUGGCUUUGACUUUUCCUUGUAUCCGACGUAUUCGCCUUAAUCUGCAAUGUUUAUCAUGAUAUAGCAAGGGUGAGCAACAAGUUUGCCCAACAAGUUUAAGUUCAAUAAAUUAAGAAUAUAUCAUAAUGGAAAGAUUUUGAAUAAUAGCUAGCUCACAUUCAACAAUAUAAUUGUGAACUAGCAUGGAUAAAUUUUCAUAGCUGAACGAACAUUGAAUAUGAACAUAUCAAUUAUAUCUAGUGUAAUGCCCCCAAAAUCGGGACAAUUUCUCUCCCCGAUCUUGUGCGUUAAUAUUAUCUCGUUCUAGCUUUAAAACAUUAUUUAAUGUUAAAAUAGCUAAAAAUGCGGAAUAAUUUUUUUUUUCUUUCCAUUCAUUCAUCCCCUGAAUCGCAACCUUUACAAUUCUUCUUUAUACUAGAAUCAUAUUUAUUAUAUGAUUUGUAUAAUCUGAGUAAAUGUAUUAAAACUUAAGUCUUAAUACAUAAUAUCUUUUCUAUCGAUAAUUCACUUAUUUCAGAAUCAUAUUUGUUCUCAUUUCAGAGUAAACAUUCUUUAUACAUUCAACAUUUCAAACUAUACAUAACUGUCAAUUACAUUUGACAAAACUAUCAAUCAUAGAUUUAUACCAUUUCUAAUUCAAGGAAAUGUAUUCAUUUUGCACAUCGAUCAAUCUUCAUCAUCCGUAUAGCAAAUAAUAUCGCUUAAUAUCAUUAACCUGCAAAAAGUUUGUAUUUGCAAGAUUGAGCUUGACAGCCCAGCAAAUUUAACAGUCUAUCAUGUUUCACAUAGCACACAAUUCCAUAUGCACUAUAUUUCCUUUACUAUGCAUAUCCUACAUGCAUCAAUAAUUCUGUGCAAUGCAUAAAUUCAUUUGUUGAAUUACCUCGUCCGAUCCUCAAUCGCCUUUGUAUGAUCUAUAUAUAGCACAUUGAAUUAUAAUAUGCUUCAUAAUCUUAUUAGAAACUUAACACAUAACUAAAUUGAUUUAUAAUCUUUAGUUUGCAUAACGCGUCAUUAUCGACAUUCCACAUACCAACUUCAUAUUUUUCAGAUCUUGAGUUCUUAAGAUUCCAUCUUGUUUUAGAUUAACUAAUCAAUCUUUAAUCCGUUUCAGAAUGAAUUUCAUUACGUUGUUGCUGAUUCGCAUCAUUAAUAUCAUAUGUAUUACCUAUGUAAUAAAGCUUAUAGCUUAAUAUGUAACACGUUCUUUGGUUUAACCAAAACUUGAAUACAUCUAGAUUAACAAUUUGAUCUCUCAUUAUUAACCAUAUUAGGUUAAUUAGUUCCAUUCAAAGGUUAUUUAUAUCUCUAAUAUCUUGCGCAUGCUUAUGUAAUGUAAUUAAAGUCAUUACAUAGCUUAACGAUAAUAUAUUCUACAAAUAUGGUUUAAAUUUCCAUAUUUCAAAGGUUAAUUUCAUAAUCUUAACUUAGUAAUCAUGUUAGGUUAUUAGCAUAAUUUAUAGAUUAACUUAUGUAUUAAAACAUGUUUUAUUAUUAAUUUUUAACUAAUUAAACACCCAGGGGCAAAACUGUAAUAAAUCAGUAAUUAAACACUCAAUGGCAAAACUGUAAUAAAGCAGAAAUAACAAUCUGGAACAUGGGGCUGCCCAGAUUUCCAGAUUGUUUUGUGAUUUCCUGGCUACUUUGUGAUUUUAUAUCUCACAAUCUACUAAUCCGAUUGCUUCCAAAUUUUGAUAUGUUAUACUUGGUACUACAUACUAUUUUAAAAAAAUAUAGCACGAACAAUUUGGGUUCAUUAAGAUGAUAUUACAGAAGCUCCAAUAUGCCCCCCUCACCUCAGUUUUUUUUUUCUUCAUUCAAUUCAAGUUUUUUUUUUUGAAAUUCUUUAAAACUUGAUUUGAGCUUGAUUUGAUUCACUCAAUCAACUUAGUUAACAUCAUAAUACAUAUAUAAAGGUUACCUAGCCCCAAACUUUGCUUAAUUUUUGAUUUCUAAGCAUUAAUUUUCAUUGAGACAAAUUUUCAAAUACUUUACACGCAUAAAUAAAUUUCCAGAUUUUCACAAACUUUUAAACAUGGUUUAGCCAAGAAUUUUCGAAAUUCUUCAUCCUUAUCACUCCAAGCAUCACUUACCAUCCAUAUCACAUCAUAUCUCAUAGUCCAAGCACAACAAUUUUAUAAAUAUAAGACAUUAAUACUCUAAUUUUUAUGAACUUUAACAAAUAAAGGUUAAUACCUCUUGUUUGAUGUUCUUAUUUGAAUUCUUGUUUCAAUCCUUGCUCCAAACUUCUUGUUGAUUGAAUCCAAUCUCCCUUAACAGUAAUUUGAUGCAAUACUCCCUUCACUUCAAUUGCUAAUUUCAAUUCCUAAAGAGUUUAGGUAGUUUCUUUGUUUAUGGGGAGAGAGCAUAUCAAAUUGGGAGAGGAAGAAGAAUGGAACGGAUGGGAGAGAAAAGUGAGGGCUGAGAAUUGGGUUUAUUUGUAGCUGAUAAUAGUCUAGUCUAGCAUUCCCAACCUCUUUGUUAAUUAUCAGACUUGGUUUCUAAGUGUCAUCCUAAUAUCCAAAGGUUAUGCCACCUCCUACUGUAGCCCCUAAUGACUCACCCAUAAGGCUUAUUCUCGUUACUUUAAUUCUCAGCAAAGUGAACUUAGCCUUUUAAUACAUAUUCAACAUCAUGACUUGG